UCAGUCGGUAGAGCAUGAGACUCUUAAUCU
This 30-nucleotide non-coding RNA is filed under the name Drosophila melanogaster (fruit fly). RNAcentral also lists the same sequence under 8 other names. The record is from RNAcentral. Lineage: Eukaryota; Metazoa; Arthropoda; Insecta; Diptera; Drosophilidae.